AGCAGCCGCGGUAAUUCCAGCUCCAAUAGCGUAUAUUAAAGUUGUUGCAGUUAAAAAGCUCGUAGUUGAAUUUCGGGAUCAGUUGGUCGGUCGUGCCUCGGUACGUACUGGUCAAAUUGAUUCCUACCUUCUGACGAACCACGAUGUCAUUAAUUUGGUGUCGUGGGAAAUCAGGACUGUUACUUUGAAAAAUUAGAGUGUUUAAAGCAGGCUCGCGCUUGAAUACAUUAGCAUGGAAUAAUGAAAUAGGACGUUUGAUUCUAUUUUGUUGGUUUUCUAGGAUCGACGUAAUGAUUAAUAGGGAUAGUUGGGGGCAUUAGUAUCCAAUUGUCAGAGGUGAAAUUCUUGGAUUUAUUGAAGACUAACUACUGCGAAAGCAUUUGCCAAGGAUGUUUUCAAUUAUACAGAACGAAAGUUAGGGGAUCGAAGACGAUCAGAUACCGUCGUAGU
Molecule: ribosomal RNA, 450 nt
Filed under: uncultured Glomus
Lineage: Eukaryota; Fungi; Glomeromycota; Glomeromycetes; Glomerales; Glomeraceae
Description: SSU rRNA
Rfam family: Eukaryotic small subunit ribosomal RNA
Source: RNAcentral